CAAGAUGGCAAUGGAUAGUCAAAAUGCGGAUAUCUAUGGAUAUCCAGUCCAUGGAUCGUGGAUAUGGAUCGGGUUUUCGAUCCAUGGAUAUCCACGCAUGGAUACCCGCCAAUUCGUGGAGCGGGUACGGAUAUCAUAUUUGAUCCAUGGAUAUCCAUGGAUACCUGGUGUUUAUUAAAAUAAAUAAAUUACCGAGAUGUGGAUCCACUGCUCGAUAGAUGUACUCUUCCGUAAAUAUAAAUAUAUAUAUAUAUAUAUAUAUAAAUAUAUAU
RNAcentral lists this long non-coding RNA (272 nucleotides) under Brachypodium distachyon (stiff brome). Its description in RNAcentral is "long non-coding RNA (BDIS_LNC001225)". The record is from RNAcentral. Lineage: Eukaryota; Viridiplantae; Streptophyta; Magnoliopsida; Poales; Poaceae.